Molecule: microRNA precursor, 76 nt
Filed under: Eptatretus burgeri (inshore hagfish)
Lineage: Eukaryota; Metazoa; Chordata; Myxini; Myxiniformes; Myxinidae
Description: Ebu-Let-7-P2o12_pre stem-loop
Rfam family: let-7 microRNA precursor family
About the family: This family represents the microRNAs (miRNA) let-7 and mir-98. let-7 was identified from a study of developmental timing in C. elegans, and was later shown to be part of a much larger class of non-coding RNAs termed miRNAs. The extents of the hairpin precursors are not generally known and are estimated based on hairpin prediction.
Source: RNAcentral
UGAGGUAGUAGGUUAUAUUGUUUUAAGGCAGGAAUGUUGCCCAGGCUGGAGAUAACUAUAUAACCUACUGCCUUUC